GGGACCGGCAGGCUCUUGCAAAGGGCUGGCGACCUCCAGCUGAGACCGGCGGUGUUAUUCCCACACCAGCAUAGGCCCGCCAUCAGACCUAAAAAGUCCAAGGGUCGCCUUCUAGCCUGGGGUUUCAACUCCCAGCCAAGACUUCUUACAGAAUGCCCACCAGAAUGGCUGUGCAGACAACACCAGCCCUCUGGACUAGAGAGGAGCUACCUUCCUAGCUGCCACUGUGACAGCUGGCCCUGGACCCUGGAAGGGCAGACCAACCCACAGUCAGGAGGUCCUGGCCCAGCCCCGGCCCCGGCACCAGCACCCAAAGGCAAAAAGGCAACUCAGAAAAACAGAGGUUAAUAAGUUGUGAGUUAAAAUAAGGUACAUACACACAUAUUUGGACAUAAACAUUUGUUUUAAUUUAUAUUAAUAAAAGGAAAUGCUCUACUUAAA
This 441-nucleotide non-coding RNA is filed under the name Pan troglodytes (chimpanzee). The record is from RNAcentral. Lineage: Eukaryota; Metazoa; Chordata; Mammalia; Primates; Hominidae.